RNAcentral lists this unclassified non-coding RNA (329 nucleotides) under soil metagenome. Its description in RNAcentral is "partial contains 5.8S ribosomal RNA, internal transcribed spacer 2, and large subunit ribosomal RNA". The stretch from base 1 to 120 matches the Rfam family "5.8S ribosomal RNA", at positions 35 to 154 of the family's 154-position model. The record is from RNAcentral.
GAUGAAGAACGCAGUGAAACGCGAUAGUUAAUGUGAAUUGCAGAAUUCAGUGAAUCAUCGAAUCUUUGAACGCACAUUGCGCCCCUUGGUAUCCCGAGGGGCAUGCCUGUUCGAGCGUCAUUUCACCACUCAAGCCUGGCUUGGUGUUGGGCGACGUCCCCUUUAGGGACGCGCCUCGAAACGCUCGGCGGCGUGGCACCGGCUUUAAGCGUAGCAGAAUCUUUCGCUUUGGAAGUCGGGGCCCCGCCUGCCGGAAUACCUACUCGUAAGGUUGACCUCGGAUCAGGCAGGGAUACCCGCUGAACUUAAGCAUAUCAAUAAGCGGAGGA